GGGCCCAUGGUGCAGUGGUGGCACAUUGUGGAAUGGCCAAGGUGUGAUCGGCUCCAAACAACAACAACAAACAACACUUCCCAUCAACCAUUCCACAAAGACCUCGGUUCGAUUCCGAACAGGCCCA
Non-coding RNA from Immersiella caudata, 127 nucleotides. The record is from the annotation of a GenBank genome assembly. NCBI's taxonomy places the organism in Eukaryota, Fungi, Ascomycota, Sordariomycetes, Sordariales, Lasiosphaeriaceae.